This 194-nucleotide ribosomal RNA is filed under the name uncultured bacterium. Its description in RNAcentral is "partial 16S ribosomal RNA". It matches the Rfam family "Bacterial small subunit ribosomal RNA", at positions 1307 to 1500 of the family's 1533-position model. The record is from RNAcentral.
GCAACUCGCCUACACGAAGUCGGAAUCGCUAGUAAUCGCGGAUCAGCAUGCCGCGGUGAAUACGUUCCCGGGCCUUGUACACACCGCCCGUCACACCAUGGGAGUUUGUAACGCCCAAGUCGGUGGCCUAACCUUUAUGGAGGGAGCCGCCUAAGGCGGGACAGAUGACUGGGGUGAAGUCGUAACAAGGUACC